GAUGAACGCUGGCGGCGUGCCUAAUACACGCAAGUCGAGCGAACGGACGAGAAGCCUGCUUUUCUGAUGUUAGCGGCGGACGGGUGAGUAACACGUGGAUAACCUACCUAUAAGACUGGGAUAACUUCGGGAAACCGGAGCUAAUACCGGAUAAUAUUUUGAACCGCAUGGUUCAAAAGUGAAAGACGGUCUUGCUGUCACUUAUAGAUGGAUCCGCGCUGCAUUAGCUAGUUGGUAAGGUAACGGCUUACCAAGGCAACGAUGCAUAGCCGACCUGAGAGGGUGAUCGGCCACACUGGAACUGAGACACGGUCCAGACUCCUACGGGAGGCAGCAGUAGGGAAUCUUCCGCAAUGGGCGAAAGCCUGACGGAGCAACGCCGCGUGAGUGAUGAAGGUCUUCGGAUCGUAAAGCUCUGUUAUUAGGGAAGAACAUAUGUGUAAGUAACUGUGCACAUCUUGACGGUACCUAAUCAGAAAGCCACGGCUAACUACGUG
This 497-nucleotide ribosomal RNA is filed under the name uncultured bacterium. RNAcentral's name for it is "partial 16S ribosomal RNA". It matches the Rfam family "Bacterial small subunit ribosomal RNA", at positions 28 to 507 of the family's 1533-position model. The record is from RNAcentral.